Molecule: long non-coding RNA, 1123 nt
Filed under: Marmota monax (woodchuck)
Lineage: Eukaryota; Metazoa; Chordata; Mammalia; Rodentia; Sciuridae
Source: RNAcentral
CUGUGGCUUGCAACUGGCAUCUAAAUUGUUGGGGUAGAGGGACUCUUGGGGACUGACCUCUCAAUCUGUGGGAUCUGAUGCCAUUUCCAGGUCAACAGCAUCAUCACUGGAUUGGACUAGAGGGUGCCUAGGUGGUGUCUGCCACUGCAGCUCUGCUUGCUUGCCAGUGGAGAGAAAUCCCCACAUCUUUUAGGGCUGGGGAAGCCUUCUGUGUUGCAGAGGACAAACAGUCUGUUCUGAUGCAGGAAGAGUCCCUAGUGCAGAUACUUUUUAACAGAUGGAUUUGGGGUGCACCACCACUCAUCAGGGAGAUGCACUCUUCAGGAAUUUUUAUGGUGACUUAAUCACGUCUGAUUGAUUAUUAACUCCAGCCCUGGCUUGUCACUUGCUCCUCGGGGUGAGGCUGAUAGUUCCAGCUUCCAGUCAUGGCCUGGCAACCCAUCCCCACCUGGGAGCUCACCUAGAGUCACCUCAUUAGGACAAAAGACACUCAUGCCACCCAGAAAACCCUAAGGGACUUAGAAACUCUGUAUCAGAAAAUGGGGUCAAAGAUCAAAUAUUGCACCAAAAAUGCUCCUAGAACCCCAUCAAUCACAGAAUUACAAGAGCCUCAGGAGCCAUGUUCCAGGAGCUGGGGACAGAGACCAAAUAGAUGUAUUUUUAUUACGCCACAUUUCCCACGGAGGAAUUACAUUUCCCAGCACCCCCUGGAUGUAGCUGGGGUCAUGGGAGGGGCUCUGGCCAAGGGAGUGGGGGCAGGAGCACUUUGCUCCAAUUCUGGACUGACUCACGCAGUGUCAGUGUGCUCUGUCCCAUCCCCACUGCCAAUCACGUGUGGAUGCCAGUGUCGUUACCUAUUGCUGUGUAACAAGUUACCCCCAAAUUCUUCCCAGCUUAAAAGCAUCAGCAUUCAAGGCUGAGGUGUGGUUUAGUGGCAGAAUGGUUGCUUGGCAUGAGCAAGGCCCUAGGUUCCACCCCAGCACCGUGAGUCUGAAGGUUGGGAACCCAGAGCAUGGUGGCUGGUGGCUCUGGAUCAGGGUUUGAAUGAGUCUCAGUCAAGCCCUUAGGCAGGCUUGACUGGGGCUGGAGAACCCACCUCCCAGGUGCACAUGGUUGACGGCUG